This 773-nucleotide ribosomal RNA is filed under the name uncultured Halomonas sp. Its description in RNAcentral is "bacterial SSU rRNA". It matches the Rfam family "Bacterial small subunit ribosomal RNA", at positions 95 to 871 of the family's 1533-position model. The record is from RNAcentral. Lineage: Bacteria; Pseudomonadati; Pseudomonadota; Gammaproteobacteria; Oceanospirillales; Halomonadaceae.
UUGGCGGACGGGUGAGUAAUGCAUAGGAAUCUGCCCGAUAGUGGGGGAUAACCUGGGGAAACCUAGGCUAAUACCGCAUACGUCUACGGGAGAAAGGGGGCUUCGGCUCCCGCUAUCGGAUGAGCCUAUGUCGGAUUAGCUGGUCGGUGAGGUAAAGGCUCACCAAGGCGACGAUCCGUAGCUGGUCUGAGAGGAUGAUCAGCCGCAUCGGGACUGAGACACGGCCCGAACUCCUACGGGAGGCAGCAGUGGGGAAUAUUGGACAAUGGGGGGAACCCUGAUCCAGCCAUGCCGCGUGUGUGAAGAAGGCCCUCGGGUUGUAAAGCACUUUCAGUGAGGAAGAACGCCUGGUGGUUAAUACCCAUCAGGAAAGACAUCACUCACAGAAGAAGCACCGGCUAACUCCGUGCCAGCAGCCGCGGUAAUACGGAGGGUGCGAGCGUUAAUCGGAAUUACUGGGCGUAAAGCGCGCGUAGGUGGCUUGAUAAGCCGGUUGUGAAAGCCCCGGGCUCAACCUGGGAACGGCAUCCGGAACUGUCAAGCUAGAGUGCAGGAGAGGAAGGUAGAAUUCCCGGUGUAGCGGUGAAAUGCGUAGAGAUCGGGAGGAAUACCAGUGGCGAAGGCGGCCUUCUGGACUGACACUGACACUGAGGUGCGAAAGCGUGGGUAGCAAACAGGAUUAGAUACCCUGGUAGUCCACGCCGUAAACGAUGUCGACCAGCCGUUGGGUGCCUAGCGCACUUUGUGGCGAAGUUAACGCGAUAAGUCGACCG